RNAcentral lists this long non-coding RNA (1389 nucleotides) under Nicotiana benthamiana. Its description in RNAcentral is "long non-coding RNA (NBEN_LNC012316)". The record is from RNAcentral. Lineage: Eukaryota; Viridiplantae; Streptophyta; Magnoliopsida; Solanales; Solanaceae.
UAGUUAAAAUUGGUGUCUUAAUUCACCGUUAAAAUAAUUAGGUGACGACUCUUUAAUUAAUUAAAUCUUCAAAAUUACAAAUAUAUUAUACUCUAGUUUGACCCGUGUUAAAAUGGGACAUAACAAUGUGAAAAGUCAUCUAAAAAAACGUGUUUCUAGCAUAGUUAUACCAUGCAGGAACAAAUCUGGACAGAACUAUCAUCUUUGAGCUUAAGUGGCAAAACCUACAAACUUUUUAUACUUCAUGCGUCGCACUAUGCUAAGCAGGGUGCGUAGCAUUAGUGCAAUUUGCUUUGUUGUAGACUCUCCGAACUUAGUUUGUCUGAUAAAAUUUUGUACUGACGCUACGCACGAUGACUAGCAUUAGUGUUUUUUUCUGUCAGACCCAAAAAUUCCAAGUUUCUGAACUUCUCCAUCUUCAGACGAAAUUUUGUACUAAUGCGACAAUUAAUGCCACGCCUUAUGCGAUGCACUAGUACUUUUUUUGCUCCAGCCCUUGCUCUUUCUUCCAACUUUCGUAUGCAACGCCAGUCCAUGAGCCCCAUAAGCAAUCCCGGUUUAAUUCCUUGGCUUUUAUGCAGACGUCAAAGCUCCAAUAAUUCGAUUUAGCUCCAGAACAUCUUCUUAACUCAGCAUCAUCUCCUACAAAGCAUAAAAUACACAAUUAGUGGAAAACACUACCAAUUAAAGCUGAAACACAAGUAAAGUACAGUGAAUUAGUGCAAUAAGCAACUAAAAUACGGGAUUAUAGCCUACUAUCAAUUACAGUGCGCUAACAGUCCACAUAAGUUGUAAAAAUACUUAUAAUAGUGGAGUAAGUAUUGCUUGAAAACACAAAGUUGCUCCAAAAUCCUGCAAGUUGAAGCACGUCAUUGGCCGUUUUCUAUAUUAUUUGAUAGUUUUCCCCGUCAAUAGACAAUGUAUUGUGUAAAACGUUUGACUAAUGACUACAGUGGAUCAUUAGGCCUUCGCCAUUAGAAAAGGUUAAUCGUGGACUUGGUUGAAAACACAAGUACCUAUAUAGGGGUUCCCCUGUCACUGCAGAACUCAGCAGCAUCCGAGCAACAACCAUCACAACUCAGAUUAAGAGAAAAGGCAAGAGAAGAACAAAGCCAAUUCUUCUAGGAAUGAAAGCCCCUAUUCAAAGAGAGUUGAAUUUGCUCUCAAGAUCAAAGGCAUACCUUUCCAGCUUGUGCGAGAGGGACUUGAGCAACAAGAGUCCAUUGCUUCUCCAACACAACCCAAUCCACAAAAAGGUACCCCUGUUGAUUCACAACGGUAGAGCUGUUGUGGAAUCACCUGUCAUCAUUGAAUAUAUUGAUAAAACUUGGAAUCUCAUACCUAAACUCUUGCAAGAAGAUCCAUAUGAAAGAGCCACAGUACGUUUCU